This 450-nucleotide ribosomal RNA is filed under the name uncultured bacterium. RNAcentral's name for it is "partial 16S ribosomal RNA". It matches the Rfam family "Bacterial small subunit ribosomal RNA", at positions 339 to 795 of the family's 1533-position model. The record is from RNAcentral.
CUACGGGUGGCUGCAGUAAGGAAUAUUGGUCAAUGGAGGAAACUCUGAACCAGCCAUCCCGCGUGAAGGAUGAAGGGGCUCUGCCUUGUAAACUUCUUUUGUCUGGGGCGAAAAAGCUCGAUUUAUCGAGAACUGACGGUACCAGAAGAAUAAGCACCGGCUAACUCCGUGCCAGCAGCCGCGGUAAUACGGAGGGUGCAAGCGAUAACCUGAAUCACUGGGUGCGAAGGGGGCUUAGUCGGCCUGGGGUGAAAGGCUGUGGCUUAACCAUGGAAUUGCCAUUGAUACUGCAGAGCUUGAAUGAGGUUGAGGUUGGCGGAAUGUGACAUGUAGCGGUGAAAUGCUUAGAUAUGUCAUGGAACACCGAUUGCGAAGGCAGCUGACUGGACCUAUAUUGACGCUGAGGCACGAAAGCGUGGGGAGCGAACAGGAUUAGAUACCCCUGUAGUC